CUGUGUCUGAAGGGGGAGAGACAUUUGCAGAGAGUGAGACAUUGGACCAGCUGCCUCUAACAAACCCGGAGCAUUUCGGAACUCCGGUCAUCAACAAGAAGUCCAACCGUGGUGGACGUCGUUCUUCCCAGGCUGCAUGAAGGAGAUGACGCGGUAGAGAACUUAACAAGGGGG
Long non-coding RNA from Hippoglossus stenolepis (Pacific halibut), 174 nucleotides. RefSeq lists it as uncharacterized. The record is from RefSeq and is a predicted model, not a curated record. NCBI's taxonomy places the organism in Eukaryota, Metazoa, Chordata, Actinopteri, Pleuronectiformes, Pleuronectidae. The transcript has 3 exons.